GAUGAACGCUAGCUACAGGCUUAACACAUGCAAGUCGAGGGGAAACGACAUCGAAAGCUUGCUUUUGAUGGGCGUCGACCGGCGCACGGGUGAGGAACGCGUAUCCAACCUGCCCACCACUUGGGGAUAACCUUGCGAAAGUAAGACUAAUACCCAAUGAUAUCCCACGAAGACAUCUGAAUGGGAUGAAAGAUUUAUCGGUGAUGGAUGGGGAUGCGUCUGAUUAGCUUGUUGGUGGGGUAACGGCCCACCAAGGCAACGAUCAGUAGGGGUUCUGAGAGGAAGGGCCCCAACAUUGGAACUGAGACACGGUCAAAACUCCUACGGCCGGCAGCAGUGAGGAAGAUUGGUCAGUGGACGAGAGCCUGAAGGAGCCAAGUAGCGUGCAGGAAGACGGCGCUAUGGGUUGUGACCUGCUUUUAUAAGGGGAUAUAGUGGGUGACGUGUGACUUUUUGAAGGUACCUUAUGAAUAAGGACCGGCUAACUACGUG
This 492-nucleotide ribosomal RNA is filed under the name uncultured bacterium. RNAcentral describes it as "partial 16S ribosomal RNA". It matches the Rfam family "Bacterial small subunit ribosomal RNA", at positions 28 to 507 of the family's 1533-position model. The record is from RNAcentral.